CUUAUCAUACGCUUCAUGGACAAUAUCUGAAAGCUGCUCACUAACCUCUCUUAUUUACACUGGGUCUACCAGCAUGCACAUGCAUAAACACAAAGGACACGGAGGCCUGGGCUCAGAGGAAGUCAAACAUGGCGCUUACUUAACAAAAGCGGCCACAUUAAAGAGAUAAUAGCUUCCACAGGCAGCUGCACGGAGCUCUAACAUGGCAGAGACACGGUGAAAACAUGUCGACAUCCGGAGGCGAACAACUGGGUCUCUACUCACCAGGUAUGUGGGCGUGGCCUCGAAACUGUAGGUGUGCAGCCGCAGGUCGACUGUGCGGCUGUGUGCUGAAAGGAUGCUUUCAAGGUGGGACAUACAGAAGCAAAGCUAGAUAUUGAACUACUAUUUUUCCUCACCCACUUGCCUUCAGAAAUCUCCAGUUAACACCAGGUAUAAAUGUCACACAAUAUAGCUGUCAUUCAAUUAAUAUACUGUAUAUGAAAAGUGGAUAAUUUUUAAGUUUUUUUGACCCCCUUAUUCAUUUUGGGGGCAAGACAUUAAAACCAUCUCCUGUUCUUUAAAUGUUUAAACUAGAAUUAUUGGCAGAGCUAAAUUAGACUGUACAGGGGUGGCUAGUACAGUGAGUGUUGUUACUUUUGCUCAGUUAUCAAAAUAUGUAUAAUACAUAAAUAAUAUGUGUAUUUUUGUAGUUUUGUGUAGUUUAUAUAUUUUUUCUGGUGCUAUUAAAAGUUGAACAUGUUU
This 744-nucleotide long non-coding RNA is filed under the name Betta splendens (Siamese fighting fish). Its description in RNAcentral is "lncRNA (ENSBSLG00000011569.1)". Lineage: Eukaryota; Metazoa; Chordata; Actinopteri; Anabantiformes; Osphronemidae. The record is from RNAcentral.